GUGGCACCAGCCAAAUCCCUGCCUUACUGACCUCUCCCCUGGAGGAGCAGGAGCAGCGCUCAAGGCCGCCCUGGGAGGGCUGAGAGGCAGGCUCUGGACUGGGGACACAGGGAUAGCUGAGCCCCAGCUGGGGGUGGAAGCUGAGCCAGGGACAGUCACAGAGGAACAAGAUCAAGAUGCGCUUUAACUGAGAAGCCCCCAAGGCAGAGGCUGAGAAUCAGAAGACAUUUCAGCAGACAUCUACAAAUCUGAAGGACAAAACAUGGUUCAAGCAUCUGGGCACAGGCGGUCCACCCGUGGCUCCAAAAUGGUCUCCUGGUCCGUGAUAGCAAAGAUCCAGGAAAUAUGAUGCGAGGAAGAUGAGAGGAAGAUGGCGCGAGAGUUCCUGGCCGAGUUCAUGAGCACAUAUGUCAUGAUGGUGAGUGGGCGGGCAGCACGAAGUGGGUGGGCUCUGCCAGGGCCUUCCAUGACCCCCUCCCCAUUCUGACCCCAUGGGUCACAUUGUCCAUUCCUUGCCUCUGAGCUGGGAGCCUGGGGAAGCAGCGAGGAAAGUAAGGGG
Molecule: long non-coding RNA, 559 nt
Filed under: Homo sapiens (human)
Lineage: Eukaryota; Metazoa; Chordata; Mammalia; Primates; Hominidae
Description: HSALNT0352438
Source: RNAcentral